CCAGUUGACUAAACCCUGAAAACUCAAACAUGUGGCUAGGAUUGAUCCACGUAUGAAUUUAGAUUAAGAGUAGGCAAGGGCAUAACCGUCUUUUUCCUUCUUUACCUUUUGAGAUUUGUGUGACCCCUUUUGAUGUGUAAGUCUGCACACACGCAGACCUUUCAACAUUUCUUCUUCUUGUCAAGCUUUUCAUUAAUUACAUUGGUAUAAUCUCUCUCCUCUUACACAUAUCUUCUCUCACAUAUCAUUUAUUCCAACCAGAAAUUAGAGAGAAUCUGAUCUAAACUUUGGUGAUGAAGAACCAGAUCUCGAACAGAGGCUGAAGGUUUGAGUUCGAACCAGGCAAAGAUCUAGUGAAAUUACACACUUUUUUACGUUUUUAAGGAGGCUGAAGGGUUUUGUCGAAAUUUUUGUUCAAGAAGAAGGUGAAUAUUUUACAGAUUGGGAGGAAUGGGAAUUGAGAAAAUAUUAAAGGCUCGAAUCAAGUCAAGCCACAGGUAGAGGUUGACUUCAAAUUGGCAACCAAAGAGCAUGAAGACUCAAUUUCAGAAGAGGCUCGGAUUACAGAGAUGAAAAGGUGUUCAUGUGGGAGGAUUGCUACCAUCCGGACAUCAUGGACAGAUGACAACCCAGGAAGAAGGUUCUAUUCAUGUCUGUUUAAGCCCAGCAACUACCCUUUCAUUGGUUGGAUCGACCCACUGAUGUGCCUACGGUCAAUAAGGAUCAUACCAGGUCUUUUGAGGAAAAUCAACAACCUGCAAGCUAAACUGUUUGUCCGUGAGCAAGAAAUUCGGAAGAAGAAGAGGGUUAUAUGGUUACUGAUAUUAGCGUUAGUGAUUGGCAGCUUACUUGUUAGCAUUGUUUGUUGUGAUUAAGAAAUAGGUGGUACUUAGUUGGAUUAUCCUUGUUAGUAUGUUAAUGACAUUUGUAGUAUGUACUUGUUGAUGUUUGGUUGAAUCUGGGAAUUUUCUAUGUUGUAGAUUUUUUGGUUUUGUUUUUA
Molecule: long non-coding RNA, 1000 nt
Organism: Helianthus annuus (common sunflower)
Lineage: Eukaryota; Viridiplantae; Streptophyta; Magnoliopsida; Asterales; Asteraceae
Exons: 4
Source: RefSeq, a predicted model, not a curated record